CGUGGGUAACCUGCCCAAGAGAUCGGGAUAACACCUGGAAACAGAUGCUAAUACCGGAUAAUAACAGAUGAUGCCUAUCAACUGUUUAAAAGAUGGUUCUGCUAUCACUCUUGGAUGGACCUGCGGUGCAUUAGCUAGUUGGUAGGGUAACGGCCUACCAAGGCGAUGAUGCAUAGCCGAGUUGAGAGACUGAUCGGCCACAUUGGGACUUAGACACGGCCCAAACUCCUACGGGAGGCAGCAGCA
RNAcentral lists this ribosomal RNA (246 nucleotides) under uncultured Lactobacillus sp. Its description in RNAcentral is "partial 16S ribosomal RNA". It matches the Rfam family "Bacterial small subunit ribosomal RNA", at positions 116 to 355 of the family's 1533-position model. Lineage: Bacteria; Bacillati; Bacillota; Bacilli; Lactobacillales; Lactobacillaceae. The record is from RNAcentral.